Clostridium sp. CAG:1013 is the source of this 54-nucleotide small RNA. It matches the Rfam family "Streptococcus sRNA SpF59 (ldcC RNA)". Lineage: Bacteria; Bacillati; Bacillota; Clostridia; Eubacteriales; Clostridiaceae. The record is from Rfam.
AGACCACCCAGAGCGCUGGGUCAAGGCCAUACGGACAGCCGGGUCGAUCGCCGA